RNAcentral lists this ribosomal RNA (292 nucleotides) under uncultured bacterium. RNAcentral describes it as "partial 16S ribosomal RNA". It matches the Rfam family "Bacterial small subunit ribosomal RNA", at positions 505 to 796 of the family's 1533-position model. The record is from RNAcentral.
GUGCCAGCCGCCGCGGUAAUACGGAGGAUGCAAGCGUUAUCCGGAUUUAUUGGGUUUAAAGGGUGCGCAGGUGGUCAAAUAAGUCAGUGGUGAAAGUCUGGCGCUUAACGUUAGGAUUGCCAUUGAUACUGUAUGACUUGAGUAUGGAUGAGGUAGGCGGAAUGUGUAGUGUAGCGGUGAAAUGCAUAGAUAUUACACAGAACGCCGAUUGCGAAGGCAGCUUACUAAUCCAUCACUGACGCUGAGGCACGAAAGCGUGGGGAUCAAACAGGAUUAGAUACCCUCGUAGUCC